This 995-nucleotide ribosomal RNA is filed under the name uncultured bacterium. RNAcentral describes it as "bacterial SSU rRNA". It matches the Rfam family "Bacterial small subunit ribosomal RNA", at positions 28 to 1017 of the family's 1533-position model. The record is from RNAcentral.
AUUGAACGCUGGCGGCAGGCUUAACACAUGCAAGUCGAGCGGGGAUUGGGUGCUUGCACCUAAUCUUAGCGGCGGACGGGUGAGUAAUGCUUAGGAAUCUGCCAUUUAGUGGGGGACAACAUUCCGAAAGGGAUGCUAAUACCGCAUACGCCCUACGGGGGAAAGCAGGGGAUCUUCGGACCUUGCGCUAAAUGAUGAGCCUAAGUCGGAUUAGCUAGUUGGUGGGGUAAAGGCCUACCAAGGCGACGAUCUGUAGCGGGUCUGAGAGGAUGAUCCGCCACACUGGGACUGAGACACGGCCCAGACUCCUACGGGAGGCAGCAGUGGGGAAUAUUGGACAAUGGGCGAAAGCCUGAUCCAGCCAUGCCGCGUGUGUGAAGAAGGCCUUUUGGUUGUAAAGCACUUUAAGCGAGGAGGAGGCUACUUGGAUUAAUACUCUAGGAUAGUGGACGUUACUCGCAGAAUAAGCACCGGCUAACUCUGUGCCAGCAGCCGCGGUAAUACAGAGGGUGCGAGCGUUAAUCGGAUUUACUGGGCGUAAAGCGUGCGUAGGCGGCUUUUUAAGUCGGAUGUGAAAUCCCUGAGCUUAACUUAGGAAUUGCAUUCGAUACUGGGAAGCUAGAGUAUGGGAGAGGAUGGUAGAAUUCCAGGUGUAGCGGUGAAAUGCGUAGAGAUCUGGAGGAAUACCGAUGGCGAAGGCAGCCAUCUGGCCUAAUACUGACGCUGAGGUACGAAAGCAUGGGGAGCAAACAGGAUUAGAUACCCUGGUAGUCCAUGCCGUAAACGAUGUCUACUAGCCGUUGGGGCCUUUGAGGCUUUAGUGGCGCAGCUAACGCGAUAAGUAGACCGCCUGGGGAGUACGGUCGCAAGACUAAAACUCAAAUGAAUUGACGGGGGCCCGCACAAGCGGUGGAGCAUGUGGUUUAAUUCGAUGCAACGCGAAGAACCUUACCUGGUCUUGACAUAGUAAGAACUUUCCAGAGAUGGAUUGGUGC